This 70-nucleotide transfer RNA is filed under the name Loxodonta africana (African savanna elephant). It matches the Rfam family "tRNA". Rfam says of the family: Transfer RNA (tRNA) molecules are approximately 80 nucleotides in length. Their secondary structure includes four short double-helical elements and three loops (D, anti-codon, and T loops). Further hydrogen bonds mediate the characteristic L-shaped molecular structure. tRNAs have two regions of fundamental functional importance: the anti-codon, which is responsible for specific mRNA codon recognition, and the 3' end, to which the tRNAs corresponding amino acid is attached (by aminoacyl-tRNA synthetases). tRNAs cope with the degeneracy of the genetic code in two manners: having more than one tRNA (with a specific anti-codon) for a particular amino acid; and 'wobble' base-pairing, i.e. permitting non-standard base-pairing at the 3rd anti-codon position. The record is from Rfam by way of RNAcentral. Lineage: Eukaryota; Metazoa; Chordata; Mammalia; Proboscidea; Elephantidae.
GCAGUGGUGGUUCAGUGGUAAAAUUCUUGCCUUCCAUGUAGGAGACCAGGGUUCGAUUCCCGACCAUGCA